AAGCCAUUGUAGUCCAUAAGCUGUACUUUGGAAAUUUAUAUUCAUUAAAUAAAAGUUUAAAAAAAAAGAAAGAAGUAGAGGGUGGCCCAGGUAAUUGGACCCCUGAACCUACCUGGGAGACCUGGUGGAAGCUCCUGGAUCCUGGUUUUGUAUCGGUGCAGCUCCGGCCGUUGGGGCCAUCUGAGGAGUGAACCAGUGGAUGAAAGAUUCUCUCUCUCUCUCUGCCGUUGCCUCUCUGUAACUCAGCUUUUCCAAUAAAUAAAUAAAUCUUUAAAAAAAAAGAAGAACAAUAUAGUAACCAAGAGAGGGAAAAGGAAUGUAUGUGUGUGUGUGUGAGAGAGAGACAGACAGACAGACAGACACACAAAGAGAAAUCUUGAAUUCACUGGUUCACUACCCAAAUGCUUACAAAAGUCAGGACUGGGCCAGGUCAGAGCCAGGAUCCAGGAACUCUCUUAGGCUCUCCCAUGCCAAAAACCCAGGCAUUUGGACCAACAUCUGCUGUAUUUCCAUGUGCAUUGGCAGGAAGCAGGACAAAACAGGAUGUGGGACUCAAUCCCAGGCACUCCAAUAAGAAUGGGGCAAACCAAGGCGUGGAUUAACUUUCUGUUCCACAAAACCCAAGGCAAGAAAAGUAUUUUUCAGAGUGUCCUGACAUAGCAGUUUGAAAAUCAAUGCUGUUUUGUAGGAUAGAAUCAGACUUUUUCCUAUGAGAACUUAUAAUACAUGUAUUUAUUAAACAAAUUGCCAAGUUAGUAAUUCAUAAAGGAAUAUUAAUAUUAUAAGAUAUUUUAAAGAAUUCAGUCUUUCCUUACUUUAUCCAAGAAAUAUUUUUGGGUGCAUACUAAAUAUCAGUCACUUUCCACAGGGUUACUUUGUGACCAGGAUUGUUUGGGGAGGUAUGAGGUGGUGAGACACCAAUCUAAGGCCACAAGCAAUGUAGGGAAUUAAUGUUUGGAACAGACAGACCCAUGUUUCAGACCUCAGUGCAUGAUCUACUUCGUAGCACAUUGCCUAGCUCAUCAAAUUUUCUAAUGAAUAUGCAAGUGUUAUAAACUAUUUAUGUAAAAUUGGGAUAUUAAUAUGGCAUGUACACUAAACCGUAAAUUCAUACUGAUAUAUCCAGUUUUAGUAAUACUGGGCUUUUAUACAAUGCUGUUGAAUUUGCAUCAGCAUCUAUUUUUUCUAAUUCUGACAAUAUUGAUUCUUAAUAAUAUUGUUUGUUUUGUUCUAUAUGAUUUAAAAAUAUUUUUAGAGGCUGGCACUGUGACACACAACAGGUUAAUCUGCAGCCUGCUGUGCCGGCAUCCAAUGUCUGUGCCAAAUGCAGUUCAUAAGUUUUGUUUGCCUGUGUACUAAUGUUGAAAUGUAAAAUCAUGCAUUAAUUCAACCAUUUAAUUUACAGUAAUCAUGUAAAAUACAAUUCAACUACAUUCAUGUUAUUUGGAAUUUUGGUUGUAAGAAUAAGACUCAUUGAAAUUUCCUUAAAAGAGUGGGAUUGUUCUUCUUUGAGAUGUGAGAUAUCCUGGCAAUGGAACUGGAAUUGGAAAUAGAACUGCCUAGGAGCAGUUCUUUAUAUUGUUAAUUCUCCCAGGGUUGGAUCACUUUUUAUCUGCUAAGGACCAUUUGGAUCUUUAUAAUAUAUAGUUUGUGGGAUAUACAAAAAUGAUUACCUUAAAAUUUAGCCUGCUAUAGAUCUAUUGGAGUUGGAAUCCUACCUAUGGUUGCCCUGGUAGUGCUGGACACAAUGAUUUCAUGGGCUUCAUAUGGCCCACAUGUCCAAUGGGCUCCACCCUGCACCCUUUCUAGAAUCUUUGACUUUUUAUUUUCAGAUAUGCUCUCUUCCCUUUUUCCCAGUAGAUUUUAUUUUAACCUACCUGACCAUAGUUUUGCCCUUUUGUAAUUUGUCUUGCACAGAACACAUCAGGACCACCCUCAAUCGUUAGUCUAUCAUGGGUUUUCAUCUUUAACUUGCAUAAUCAAUAGCUUCCCUCCCUCAGGACUACUUGGACCUCAUCUUUUUGUAGCUGGCUUCCUCAUGUGUCUUGUUCAUAUACCUAUCAUGCAUCCAUUUCUUCACCUGUGAAGCAUCACCUGGAACUGAUUCUAAACUAACUGUAAUUAUUUUAUAAAGAACUUGACAUAUGGAAGAUAUUCCAAAGGUAGAUCUGCCAAAUUUAGUGUAUUUUCUUGAUAAUAUGCCUUACUUUUUAAUUGGCUUCAAUGGUAUUUGUUCUUACCUUCUAUUAUAUAUAAAAUUUAUGGGAAUAUGUAUAAUAUGUAUUAUCUCCUAUGUGGAUAUUUGGUAUAAAAUAAUAGCAUUUUUCUAUGUGUAGGUGAUUGUUAAGGAAAUAAUUUCUUAGCUUGAAUGACAUAAUUUGUUCCAUUGUCCCCCAUCCCCUUCUAUUUUCUUCUUAGGAAAUCCAAUGAAAUAACUAAGGUGCUUAUAACAAACAUGUGGUCAGAACCAUAACUUGUAUCAAGGUUUGUUCUUCAGCAGCAGCUAGUAUUAAAUUCAAUGUUCUCAAAUAUUUACUCACAGUAAUAUGCUCCAUUUGAUCAGUGCUGUGAUUUUUGGCUCCCACUUAAUAAUAGUUCUAUGCCCUUUAGCAAAUAUAGCAGCAGGAAGACCAUAAUGUUCAAAACAACAAACUUGUUACAUGUGUAGCAUAUUAUUUUUUCUUUGCUAUCUGCCUUGACCAGUUUCAAGUUGCUUCUUGAAUCUGGGGCAGAUUUACACAUUUUUUCUUCUUCUUAAAAGCAUACAUGUCAGUUGUUUCACUUCUUUUUAAGCAUUUACAUGAUGAGUUUUAUGAUUGUGUUUCCAUUCUUAUAUAUUUAUUUAUUCAUUUUGGUAAAUUUAAUUGACCUUAAUUCUUGUUUCCUGGAUUCAUAAUCACUAUACAACUUUACUGAUCAAGUGAAAACAUGAUGAAGAUAUUUUAGUUUGUUAUGGUUUCACUUAACUUCAAUCAGUCUUAGACUGCAGAGGGGAAAAUAAAAGAGAAUGACUAUAAAGUUCACAAAAUAUUUUCCUGCAUGAAAUGAAUGUAAAAUUGUUCCUUAUUUUUUGAUAACAAGGUGUAUACUCUGUUGGGGGGUCCAGCCAUAUUGUCAACAUGAAAGCAACUAUGAAAUGAACUAAUUUUUGAAAUGACAUGGAAGCAUAAAGAGGCACUAUUGACAACGAGAUGAUGCCUCAGUCCAGCCAUGCAAGAACACAGACUCCUUCUGUGACCGAUUGCUUUUCUCAUUCUCAGCAAGUCUCCCUUUCUUUAUAAGAGGACUAUCACAUUCAUCACCAUGUAGUUUUCUGUUUUUUAAUCUCAGCCCCUUGAUUUUGGUAUUGGUUCCAUAAUCCAUUUCAGUGAAAUGAAUAUGAGUGAACGUGACUUAUUCUAUAUCUCAGCAGAAGUAAUGGGCAUUGCUAGGUUCUUCCAGAUCUUUUGCUGUUUUCCAUCUGCCCUGAAAAUGGAACGUCCCCAAAAGACUGCUCCUUUGACCUGAAAGAUGAGGCAAGACAACAGGUACAGCAGUGAUGCAGCAGACAGGCUCGGCUGCCACAUUUAAUAUCAGAGAGAAAUAUUUUGUACUAUAAGCCCCCCUACAUUUGGGGAUGGUUUGUCACUGCAGCCAAGCUAACUAUAUAUAUUGCCAUAUUUUGCAGUUUGUAGGAAUUUUUGAACAAUUCUUUCUUUUCUAUCUUUAAAAUAAUUGUUCCAAAUUUUAAGUUCCUUAAAAUUCUUUAAAUUUAUAUUUAUGGCACAUUUUUCACAAAGUGAUUUAUUAAUGAAUGGCUGGUAAAUUAAUGAUUUAAUAAAUAGAUGGAAGACUAACAACCAAUUAGAUAAACUCUCCAAAUUAGGUUAUAUAUUAUCUAGUUCAAAAGAAUCUCAUAGGGGCUGGUGUUGUGGCAUAGUGGGUUAAGCCACAACCUGAGUCGCCAGGAUCCCAUAUUGAUCCAGGAUGAAGACCUGGCUAUUACAUUCCCCAUCUAGCUCCCUGCUAAUGUGCUUGGGGAAGCAGUGGAAGAUAUCCCAAAUACAUGAGCCCCUGUGACUCACAGGGGAGACCCAGAAGAAGCCCCUGAUUCCUGGCUUGGCCUGGUCCAACCCUGGCCAUUGCAUCAAUUUGUGGGGUGAGCUAGUAGGUGGAAGACUUCUCUGUGUCUCUUCCUCUUUCUCUGCAGCUUUGCCUUUCAGACAACUAAAUAAAUAAUUUUAAGCAAUUUACUCUUAUAAAACACAUUUGUGUAUUAUGCAAUUUCUUCUGUAUAAUAAAAAGAACUUUCAUGUGUCUGUGACAGUCCCAUGCAUUUUUGUACUCUAGGGCCAAAGGCUAAUUGUUCCAAUACCCUGAUUUUAUUAUUUAUUUAUUUUAAAUAAGAGAAAGACAAAGUGAGCAUAAGAACAUUGGGGCAAACUUAAAGCAUAUUCAGAAUUCCAGAAUAUAAGGGCUAGUUGUUCUUUUACCUUCAGGGAAGCACAUUGAUUUUGUAGUCACUUAGUUUGCUACAACAAAUCAAAGUGUUUUGUAAAAGAUGGAUAAAAUCAUUUAAAAUUAUCCUUGACCUAUUUCUAAAUGUAUCUGUGAAUUUGUAUUUUAUUUUUAAGGUUUAUUUAUUUAUAUAAAAGCCAGAGUUAGAGAGAGAGAGGUGGAGAGAGACAGAGUGAGAGAGAACAUCCAUUUGCUGGAUCCCUCCCAGAAUGGUUGCGAUGGCUGGGGCUGGGCCAAGCUGAAGCCAGAAACAAGAAAUUGUUUCCUAGGUCUUCCACAUGGCAGCAGGAGCCAAAGAACUUGGGCCGUCUCCCACUGCUUCCCCAGGUUCAUUAGCAGGGAAGUGGAUCAGAAGUGGAGUGGCCAGGACUUGAAUCAGUGCUCAUAUGGGAUGCUGGUGUUUCAAGCUGCAGCUUGACCCUCUGUGCCAUAAUGUUGGUGUUGAUCACUUGAGUCAUUUAUUAAAAGUACAGUGCAUGUCUCUGUGUGUGUCAACACUUUGGAGUCUGCAGCACAUGGUGAACAAGCUUUCUCAUCAUAGUACUCCAGGUUGAAGAAAGAAUGACCACCAUACAUUCAAAGUUUAUUCUUGGGGCCGGCACUGUGGCGUAGUGGGUAAGGCCACCGACUGCGGUGCCGGCUUCCCAUAUGGGCGCCAGUUCGAGAUCCGGCUGCUCCACUUCCAGUCCAGCUCUUUGCUGUUGUCUGGGAAGGCAGUGGAAGAUGGCUCAAGUCCUUGGACCCCUGCACCUGUGUGGGAGACCUGGAGGAGGCUCCAGGCUCCUGGCUUCAGAUCAGGCUAGCUCCGGCUGUUGCAGCCAUUUGGGGAGUGAACCAGCAAAUGGAAGACCUCUCUAUCUGUCUGCCUCUGCCUCUCUGUAACUCUUUCAAGUAAAAUAAAUAAACCUUUAAAAACAAAACAAAGUUUAUUCUUCUAAUCUUAUGAAAUUCAUCCUUAGCUGGGAUCAUCUUAUUUUACAGUGUAUCAGCUGAGUAUCCUGACUUAGCUCUCUCUUCUGGUUGCCCAUAUCCUACAGCCUUCUGCCAUGAUGGGCAAAAAUAGACAUAGUUCCAAGAUCCAGAUAUAUUGUGAUUUACAUUGUUUUACCUUUUCUACAAACGUGUUGUAAAUGUCUUACUUUUAUUCUGAUACCAUAUCCCCUUACUCAGUUCCACUAUUCUUGUUUUUUAACCAAACUUAUUUUUAGGUCAUCAAUAUUUUAAUUCUCUAAAUAUAUACACCGUGGUGUAAACAAAACCAAAUGCUCAUAUAAAAAUUAUAGGAGUUCCAAUAUGGCUAACACAUUCAAAAAUUACAUUUAAAUUCAUUUAAUUAGUAACCCUCAAAAGAUGAUGAAAUAUAAAGCAAAAAAUAAAGAGAGAAAGGAGGCAAGUUAUAAAGUCCUCUGCAUGGAGGGGACCUAUGGAUGACCAUAUUUAAAUUAGGACCUAUAAAUUCUAAAUUUGAGAAAAAGCAUCACAAGCAUGACGGAAAUACAACACUAAGGCCAGAAAUCAACGUGGAGUUACAGAGUCCUGAGUCUUUUUCUACAAAAUGUACAUUGAAUUCUAGUACACUACAUCAGGAUUUGGAUCCUCAGCUAGAGAAAAAGUAGCUAUAGUAAAGCCGGAUCCAGACAACUGGGAUGGUAUCAGCUUGCCUUUCUGAUCUGCACGCACACGCACUGAAGCAUUUUGUGCUUCUAUAUCAAGACGUUUAUUGUUUGCCAUUUGAAAUUGUUUGCAAGUUUAUGCUAGGUUAAUAGGUUUUUUUGUAGCAAAUAGGAAAGAAAAAAUUUUAAAAAAAAAUUUCCUUAUUUAUUUGAAAGGCAGAGUUAGAAAGAGAGAGACAGAGACAGAGAUCUUUCAUCUUCUGGUUUACUCCCCAAAUGGCCACAAUAGCCCAGGCUAGGCCAAGAGCCAGGAACUCCAUCGGGGUCUCCCAAUGGUUGGCAGUUGCCUAAGAACUUGGGCCAUCUUAUGCUGCUUUCCCAGGUACAUUAGCAGAGAGCUGGCUUGGAAGUGGAGUGGCCAGAUUUCACACCAGCGCCCUUAUGGGAUGCUGGUAUACCAAUGGUUGUGGCUUAAUCUGCAGCUUCACACCGCCAACCUGAAACAAAAUUUUACAGGGCCCCUCCCUCCCAGUACCUACAACAUGAUUCAAUUCGCUUACAGAUGACACAGGAUAGUCCAUUACUGUGUAUGGGUGUGAAGGCUGUGAAAGUGAUAAUUGUGUACUAAAGAUAUGGGGCUUUUUAAAAAACAUGCUCUUGUUUUUAAUCUUUUGGAUUAGUUUUUAACUGAUUCAAUAUAGCUUUUAGAUACAGUUCUAAGAAUAUAAUGAUAUUCCAUUCCUUCUUCCCUCACUCUGUCCCCUCUGCCUUGCUAUCCCUUUCUUUAUUUAUUUUUUUUUUUUAGUUUUUGAGAUAACAUUUAAAAUUUUCAUUACACUAAAAGGUGUUUAUUGAGUAAAAAGCAAAAAGAACUCUAGUGGGAAUAUAGACAAUAGAUAUAAAUAAUAUUAGAAUGUUAAAGUAAUCACGGAUCAUUAAAACUAUAGUAGUAUGAUAUUCUUAAUCAUUGGUUUCACAAAUGAAUAAAACAAAGUUUUAUUUAAAAACUGUGUUUGCAGCAGUACUGAUACACACAGGCAUUUCUUUUGUUUUUGUUUUUUUUUAUCUUAGAAUUUUUUUCCUUUUUUUAAAAUCUGAGGUAUUCCAAUCUCAUUCAUGAGCAUCCCCUAACCAUUUCUUGCAAUGUUUGUUUUGGCAGAGAGAUCUUAAGAUGAAAUUUAAAUUCAAAAAAUGUGAUAACAAAUAUGAGAAUUCUAUUUAUACUUGCACAAACAUUAUUCCUUUAAAAUAUCUCAACAUUGAGACAAAAUUUUUGAAUUAGUGAUUCUCAAUAGAUUAAAAUUUUACUGGAGUAAAAUGAUGUAAAGUUCAGGAAUGAGGAAGCUUUGUCUGACAGCCAUAUGAUUAUUUAUAAUAUCAUUCAUGGGCCAUACAAAACUGCCAACUUAAAAAUUAGCCUGCUAUCGAUGAAUUGAAUUUUGAGUCCUCCAAUGAUUGCUUUGGCAGGGCCAGACCAGAUGAUUCGUGGGCCCAUAUGCUAGACAUGCCUCACCCCGACAGUGAGACUUAAAAGUUCCAAGGACAAAUACUUCUUUCUGUCUUUUAGGACAAACUAGAGCCACUUUUGUGCUACAAUUACAAAGUUGAGUCGUUACAACAGAAACCAUAUGGAUUGCAAAGCCUAAAAUAUUUACUGUGUUUUCCUAUAGAGGAAAAGCUUGAUAAUCCACAUUAUGCUUUCCAGUAUAAACAUGGGAGACAAAAUUAAAAUCUACAAAGAGAAGAUAAAGUUACCUAGCCUCAAUUUUUUUUUUUUUUGACAUCAUUGGAAAUUGUUGCCAUCAUGAGGGAUAACAAUUAAGCAUCAUGCAGAGUCCUUUUCACUUUUUUCGAUCACAUAUUACAAAUGUCUGUAAUGGAUCUCAGCAUUAGAUUCAAUUUUAAAUCUCCCACCCUGCUCUAGGGAAAUUGUGCUGAGUAGGUGAGAAAACCUGCAGUUUCUGUUAAAGAAUCAGCUUUGACUCCCAAUGGGUGAUCCAAUUCCAGUUCUAGUUGAUGCUGCUAAAGUAAAAUUUUUGUUUGAGUUUCCAACUGGUACAUGAUGAAUGUUUGCCCUAAAUAUUGCUGGUUAAUUUAGUAUUCUUUUGUGAGAGGAUCCCAAUAAAGCACUAUAAAUAAAUGAUAUUAAAUUGGAUCUCACUGGAGCACAGAAAGCAUACACCGAGGUCUAUAACAUCUCUGUAGUUUGGCUGAGAGAAGCCGUGCUUAGUGCAAACGUGUUGCAGAUAUGUAAGGGGGCAUUAUGGAAAAUUGUUCAAGUAAUUAAGGAAACAAUUAAAAUCUUUAAAGAAACAUACUGUUUAGUGUUUCCAUUAUUUAUUUCAUGAAAUGGAAAUGCGAUGAUAUUGUUAGAUUUUUCAGUUAUAUUAUUGAAAUGAUUUAUCAGAAAUCCUUUUUGAAAUAUAAAUAAUAGGGUGAUAGAUUGUCAUUUAGUAUAAGAAAAUCAGAUGUAUUCUUCAUACCAUGACUUAAAAUGGUUCAGAUAAUUAAAUACAAACAAGGAAACUCUAGUAUCUAGAAUAAUUUACAUUCAUCUAUAAUGUGGAUGUAGGAUGUUGCUUUCUACAUUGACUCAAUAUUCAUAUCCAAAUAAGAUGAAAGAUUGUUAAAUUUCACUAAAUAGGCAUAAAAAUGCUAUCCCUUAUUCAGAAUUCAAAAACAAAGUUAAAAAUUGGGAAAAUAUUUACAAAUGAUAUGAACAGUUAUCCCCAAAAUGAUAUCAAAUGGCUUUAAAUAUAUGAAAAGAUAUUCAACUUUAAUAACAGAACAUUUGGGGCCUGCACUGUGGUGUGGCGGGUGGUGCCCCUGCUGGUAGAGCCGGCAUCCCAUAUGGGUUUUGGUUCAAGUCUUGGCUGCUCUACUUCUGAUCCAGCUCUCUGUAUGGGCUGGGAAAUCAACAGAAGAUGGCCCAAGUCCUGGGGGCCCUGCACCCAUGUGGGAGAUCCAGAGGAAGCUCCUGGCUCCUGGCUUUGGAUCGGCCCAGCUCUGGCCGUUGUGCCAUUUGGGGAGUGAACCAGCAGAUGAAAGACUCCUCUCUCUCUCUCUCUGGCUCUGCCUUUCUGUAACUCUGCCUUUCAAUUAAUAAAUGAAUAAAUCUUUUAAAAAAUAAUAAAACAUUUAAUACACUUAGCAUUUUAGAAUAUAGUACAUCAUUGUUAACUAUAGUAACCAUGAUCUCUUGAGCUUAUUCUUGCUAUACAAUUGAAAUAUUGCAAACUUUGACAAACAACUCCCCAAAACCUCAACCCAUUCUAGCUCUGGUAACAACCAUUUUGUUCUGUUUCUAAGAAAUCACCUUUUGGAGAGUACCCAUAUGUAUAUACUCACUUUUUGAGAGUACCCAUAUGAGUACCCGUAUGAGAUCAUGCAAUAUUUGUUGUUCAGGCCUGGCUUAUUUCACUUUAUACGAUGUCCUACAUGCUCAGCCACAUUGUCACAAAAGACAAAUAUUCCUUUGUUUUUAGGGCUGACAUUGAUGGGUGCUUAGGUUGAUUCUGUAUUUUAUAUUUUGUGAAUAGUGCUAUAGUGAGUGCAGAUGUUUCUCAAUAUACUGCUUUUAUUUCCUUUGGGUAGAUAUGCAGUUGUGGGUGUGCUGGAUCAUUUUCUAGUUCUCUUUUCAAUUUAUUGAGAUAACUGUAUGCUGCUUUCCAGAAUAGCUAUACUAAUGUAUAUUCCUAUUAAUUGCGUGCAAGUCUUCCAUUUACCACAAUCCUCCCUGACACUUGUCAUAGUUUAUUUUUUGGUUGUUUUUGUGUAAUGGACGAUUCUUAGAGGCGGGAGAUGAUAAUUCAUUGUGGUUUUAAUUUGCUUUUCUCUCAUGAUUAGGUAUAUGUGAAAUGAUGCAUAUUUUAAUUAGCUAGAAUUUGUCUACAAUGUAUGCAUAUUUUAUUUUUAAUUUUUUUAUUAUUAUUUUUUUAUCUGAAAGGCAGCUUUACAGAGAGUUAGAGAAAGAGAGAGAGACAGAUAGAGAGAGAGGUCUUCCAUCAGCUGGUUCACUCCCCAAAUGGCCACAAAUGCCAGAGCUGUGCCAAUCAAAGCCAGGAGCCAGGAGCUUCUUCAGGGUCUCCCACGUGGGUGCAGGGGCUCAAGGACUUGAGCAUAUUCUACAGCUUUCCCAGGCCAUAGCAGAGAGCUGUAUUGGAAGCAGAGCAGCCAGAACUCAAACUGGCACCCAUAUGGGAUGCUGACACUGAAGGAGGCAGCUUUACCAGUUACGCAACAGUGCUGGCCCCACUAUGUAUACUUUAAAACAUUAUGUUUUACGUGAUGAAACAUAUAUUUUUAUCUCUCACUUUAAAAUGAUUAAGUUUGAAAACAAAAAAAGGAAAAAGAAAAGUGAAACUACACUGUGAUACAGCUUUUUCAUUAGAACGUUAUCUGCAAGUUAUAAAAUCCCAAAAAUAACUAAACUGCAAAUUUAGUUUAAAGUAUGAUAAAUAUUACAGUGGAGCAGUAUACAUUUGCAAAAACAAUGAAUAUUUUUCUAUGAACUGGUGUCGGGAUUAUGUUAAGUGAAGACAAUAAAAUGCAAAGGAGUAGGAGUAGGUGUAGAACUUCAGAGUAGGAAAAAGGGAGAAAAAACAAAAUAUGCAUUUGUCUACUUAUCUGAAAGAAACAUGAGACUUAGCCAGUACAAGUGGAUGGGGUAUGAGCUGAGAAGAAGAGGGGAGCUAGUGUCACUUCUCUGAACAGAUUUUUCUACUGACCCUCCAUAUCCAGGAGCUGUGGAUUCAACCAAUAGCAAGUAGAAAAUAUUUGAGAAAAAAUUACUGAACAUGUACAGAUUUUUAUGUUCUUAUUCCCUAAGCAAUUCAGUACAAUAGUUAUUUACAUAUAAUUUAUAUUUCAUUACAUAUUCAAGUAUUCUAGAUAUGAUUUAAAAUGCUGUAUAUAGGAAAAUGUGCUCAGGUUACAAGCAAAUAAUAUGUCAUUUAAUACUGUGGAUUUUUGCAUUCUUGGGGAUGGGGGGUCCUGGAAUGAGUCCCCCACUGAUACCAAGGAACAACUCUACUUUUUAGUUCUGAAAGCAGCUAAUGUCUAUAUAUUAAAAUUAAAAAUAAAUAAAUGAGAAUUAAGUAGAUUGUAAAUAUGAAAGCAAAUAUAGACAUAUUAACAAUUGUGUACAAAUGAACAACACAAGCAAAGGAAAAGGAAAAGUAGAAAAAUUUUAAAAAAGCUUAAUUUAAGGACCUUUUCUUGUCUUUUGAUUUUACCAUCUGCCCUCUCUGUCCAUUAAAGUUCUGACAGAAGUGAAUAAAAAUCGUUUUUCUGUGGGGAGAGUUUCUUAUUUUGAUGGUACUGGUAAAGCAAUUCUGUAAUUCAAUGUGUAUUUUACAAGAAUUCUAUAUUUUUCAUAUAGAAGGAGGAAAGAAAAGGAAACGCAUCACAAGAUAGACUGGAAUUGGAAUUAUCAGUAUGAACUCCCGAUUUAUGAGAGAUAUGUGUAUGUUUGUUUUUAUAUGUUGAUAAAGGCAUAUUUUUAUUCAUAUGCAUACAUACUUCUAGCUUCCUUCUAUGAACAGAUGUGUUUUAAUUUCAAUAUCACUUAUUUCUGUUAUACAGAAAACUAAUUGACUUUGGUAUAUUAACUUUGUAUCCUGCACAUUGCUGUAGUCACUUAAUUAGUUCCAGAAACUAUUGUGAAUUCCUUGGAUUUUCCACAAACACUAUUUUGUCAUCUGAGACAAGACUAUUUUAUUUCUUUCUUCAUAAUCUAUGCACAUUUUACUUUCAUUUCUUGACUCACUAUGUUAACUAGGAUUUCUGGUAAAAUAUUGAAAAGUGGUGAUGGAAAGGAAAUCCUUGUCUUGUUCCUGAUCUUGGUGGGCAAACUUGUCAUUUCUCACCAUUAAGUAUGGCGUUACCAGUAGGCUUUGUGUAGAUAUUUUUAUCGCUUUGAGAUUUCCUGGAUGCCUAGUUUGCUGGAAGUUUUGUUUGUUUGUUUGUUUUGGUUUUUUAUUUGUUUGGUUUCAUUGUGAAUACUGGAUAUUGUCAAAUGCUCCUUGUGCAUGCAUGACAUAUUGAUAUGAUUUUCUUUUCCUUAUAUCUGUUGUUAUGACUGUAAUAAUUGAUUUUCAAAUGUUGGACUAACCUUGCUUACCCUUGGUUGUGCAGUAUAAUUCUUUUCACACAUUGUUGGAUUGCAUUUGCUAAUGUUUUUGGAGUUCAAUGUAAUGUUCUUGAGACGUAUUUCUCUGCAGUUUACCUUUAUUUAAUGUAUUUGGUUUGUUUUCAGAUAAUGCUGGAUUCAUAGGAUUAGUUAGGCAGGUAUUUCCUCUACUUGCAUCUUCUGAAAGAGAUUGCAGACAGUUGGUGUAAUUUCUUCCCAAAACGUUUGGUAGAAUUUGAGCAUUGUGCUUUCUGUUUUGGAAGACUAUAAAUUUCUACUUAAAUUCUGUUGUAGAUAUGGUCCUGUUCAGAUUGUCUGUCUGUUUUUUGUGAGUUUUGGUAUUUGGUGACUUCCAAAGAAUUAAUUUUUCCAUUUGAUUUAGGUUAACAUGCUUGAGUAUAGAGUUGUUUGUAAUAUUCUUUUAUUAUCCCUUUAAUUGCCAUGAGGUCUGUAGUUGUGUCUCUUCUUUCACAUCUAAUAUUAACCAUUUGUGUCUUCUCUUUUUUUUUCUUAGCAUGUCUACAGGCUUAGUAAUUUUAUCAAUCUUUUCAAGAAAUACCUUUUGUGGAUUUAAUCUAUUAAUUUUUGUUUUAAUUCUUUUUUAAAAGAUUUUCUUAUUAAUUUGCUAAGCAGAGUGAGAGAAGGAAACAUGAGAGAGAAAAAGAGAGCAAGGAGAUGCAGGGAGGAGAGUGGGUGGGAGAGGAGAUCAUCUCCCAUGUGCUGUUUCAUUCCCCAAAUCACCGUAAUGGCCAGGGCUGGGCCAAACCAAAGCCAGGUGCCAGAAACUCCAUCCUGAGUGGCAAGUGCCCAGGUACACUGGCCAUCAUCUGCUGCUUUCCCAGGUGCGUUAGCAGGAAGACAAAUAGAAGCAGGGCUGCUGAGACUCGGAGGGGUACUCUGAUAAUGGGAUGCAUGCAUUGCAACCAAGGACUUAUCCCACUGAACCACAAUGCCAGCCCAAUUCUAUCUUUGUCACUCUGACUUUUGAUAUUUCUUCUGCUUAUGUAGAAUCUACUUUGUUCUUUUUAUGCUAGUUUCCUUAAAUGGAGGCUUGGAAAAUUGAAUUUAGAUAUUUGUUCUUUUGUAACAUUUGAAUUCAGCCCUAUGAAUUUCCUCUAAGCUUUAAUUCACUGCUUUCACAAAUUCUGAUAGGUUGUAUUUUCAGUUUCAUGUAGAUCGAAACUGUUUUAAAAUUUCUCUUGGGAUUUAUCUGCUCACUCUUGUGUUAUCCAGAAGUGUGUUGUGGGGCUGAUGCUGUGGCGUAGUGAGUAAAGAUGCCAUCUGCGGUGCCAGCAUCCCAUAUGGACGCUGAAUGGAGUCCCAGCUGCUCCACUUCAGAUCCAGCUCCCUGCUGGUGGCCUGAGAACAGUAGAGGAAGAUGGCCCAAGUGCUUGGGUCCCUGCACCCAAGUGGGAGACCUGGAAGAAGCCCCUGGCUCUGGCCUAGCCUGGCCGUGGUCAUUGUGACCAUCUCGGGAGUGAACCAUCAGAUGGAAAACCUCUCUCUACAUCUUCCCCUCUCUCUGUAGCUCUGCUUUUCGAAUGAAAAAAAAAAAAAAGAAAAAGAAGAAGAAAUAAGAAAUGUAUUGCUUAAUCUCUAGAAUUUUGGAAAUUUCUAGCUCUUUUUCUGCUGCUAAUUUCUUGUUUAAUUCCAUUGUAUCUGAAAGCAGUGUGUAAUUCUUGUUGUUUAAAUUCUGUUAAAGUUUAUUUUAUGGCCCAAAAUUUGGUUCCACAUGGACUUUAGAGGAAUAUGAAAACGGCUAUUGUUACCAAUGGUUUGUUUGCAUUGAAUUCUUCUCAGCUGGAUCUGUUAACUUUUGAACUUCCUAGUAUAUACUUUUAUAUUAAUCUGUGCCUAUUAGUACAGUAGUUUAACAUCCUUUGUAGCAUUAGGUCAUGCCACCAGUUUUAAAUUUAGUAAAUAUCAUCUUGUUAUUAUUUUAUGAAUAAAACAAUUUUAAACUGUACAUUAUAUUUCAUCUUGUGAUAAAAUAUUUAAAAUUGAUUAUCUCAUAAAGGGAUGUAGGAUUAGAAAUGAAAACAGCAGGAUAAUUCUUUUGGAAGUUUUCUUUAGGGGUAGACAUUUAGCUAGUGGCAAAACCAGUUGAGUGUGUAAAACCUGUAUUGGAGUGCCUAGAUUCAAGUCCCAGCUUCUCUCCUGGUUUCAGCUUCCUGAUAAUGCACACCCUGGACUGCAGGAGGUAAUGGGUCCCUGCCAAGCAAGUGCAGGAUCCAGUUUAAGUUCUUGGAUCCUGAGUUGUGACUAUCCCAGGUGUAGCCAUCGCAGGGAUUUGAGGAGUAAGCCUGCAGAUGGGAAAUUUCUGCCUGCCCAUCUCACCGUCUCUUUGUCUCCUGACUUUCACAUAAAUCAAAUGAUUUUGAAAAUUUCCUCUCUGAGAUGAAAUAAAUAAUAAAUACAUAUGCAUACUCUUACCUUUCCCAAACAAAUUAACAAUAUGAGACACCCAUGCACACAGAUAUACACACAGAUACUAAACAAAUUAAAUAUAUUUUCCCUUUUGCUUCUUUGUGAUUUGAAUAGGAAAUAAAGUAUUGAAUAGGAAAUAAAGAAUAAUUUCACAUUGUGUUAAAUCUGAGAAACAGUUUGUAAAUGUUUCUAUUGAUUGUAUAAUCCAGUUCAAAAUGAAAUUAUAAAGCAUAGCAUAAUCAAUUCCUAUAAAUAAGUAUCACAAUGGUGCUUUAAAUAAUAUGUAUAUACUUAUCUCUGGAUUUAUCAUUUAGAGUCAUAUUAGCUCAACUGCAUCAUUAAAGAGUUAUUAUAACCAAGCAAAUUUCUUCACUCAUAGUUAAACUUCAUAUAUUUAGAAAUUAUGCAUUCAUAUUUAGUCAUGUGUAUGGAGGUGGAAAAUCAUAAUAAUCUGAUACACUAUGAUUCAUGGCAAAGGUUACAACAGUAUUAUGGAGGUUUGCCACAUGUUGUAGUAUAUUAUGAGAGGAGAAAUAAAAUAGUCAAGUGGUUCUCAAACUGAAGAGUGCUUCAGAAUCACCCACAGGGCUUGUUGAAAGUGAUGAAUAGAUUGCUGGGCCAUACCCCUAGAACUUUUGAGAUGCAAGUCUGGGAUAGGGCCAACAUCAUGAAUGUCUAACAAGUUUGCAGGUGUAGCUGGUACUGCUAGUUUGCAAUCACCUUUGUAAACCAGCUGAGUAAUAAUUUUCUAAUAAAAUAAGUUCAAAAUUAUAUCUGCCCAAGAAAUCUGAAACAUGGUUAAGGCUGACAUCCUUGCAUAUUCACAUGAAGGCAAUUAACUAGUACGUUUGAGUCCUGAUGUUAUUGGUGUUAUUAGUGCACAUUGAAUAAUAUGGUAGACACAUAGCUAUGGAACCUGGUCUUUCUAAAAUCUUAAGUCUUUAUUUGAAAAUAAAUGAUACAAGUUAUGGAAAUCCUCUAAAUAGUUGAACUGUUUUCUUGAGCAAGAAGAGUAUUUUCUGCAUUAUUCAUGAAAUUCAAUAAUGGAAGUAAAAGUUAAUAUUUAUAUUGAGUGCCUCUGCCGAACUGAAAAAGGCAUUUUAAAAUUUUAAGUGCUCAGGCUGGAGUAUUUCGAUGAAGAUAGGUAUUUAUUUUCACUAUAUUUUGAAAAUCCACUUUUAAGAGCCCAAAUUCAGAUAACUGUCAUCUCAAUGUAACCUUAAGUCAAAUGGAUAUUCAGCAUCAGUCUUAAGGUGUAUUAGAAACAGUGGAGUUGUAUUGGUAAAGUUUUGAGUGGGUGUGCUCUUGCAAACACCUGAGUGCUAUUCAGCUUAAUUGGGUUAUAGCUCAUGCUGAUCGUGUUUUCCCUCUGUUGUAUCUAAUUUCUUUUUCCCCCAAUAUUUUAUUGUUUGGUUUGGGCUCUGAAGGUAUAUGGAAAUUAAAGAACUCUAAUUUUUUAAGAGCCCUAAAGGGAAGUAUGCUUUUGUGUUAGUCAUUCCUGUGAACACCUGUGCACUGUUGAAUUUAAUUGGGUUACAGCUGGUGCUGAGAGACAGUGAACUAAAUGAGGGUUUGCAGACUGACUAGCAUCUUGACAUUGCAUGUCAUUGUUUUGAUUUUUCCCCUUUGUUUUCUCUUUCUGUACAUUUGCAAGAUGCUUGGAUUUUAAAGAUUUGGAAGGCAAAUUGAAUGGAAUUCUUACAAUCUGUGAUGCAUUGUAGUGUUUCCCUCAAAAAGUGCACUCCCAUUAUAAAUUGUGAACUCCCCCAAAAUAAGGUGGUCCUAGCCUCAGAAGCCAUCUGGACACUUGUUUCCAGUAAUUCAGGCACAUUUAAUAUCGUGGUUAGAUUUUGACAGGCUAGU
Non-coding RNA from Oryctolagus cuniculus (rabbit), 16530 nucleotides. The record is from RefSeq and is a predicted model, not a curated record. Lineage: Eukaryota; Metazoa; Chordata; Mammalia; Lagomorpha; Leporidae.